Molecule: long non-coding RNA, 1587 nt
Organism: Heterocephalus glaber (naked mole-rat)
Lineage: Eukaryota; Metazoa; Chordata; Mammalia; Rodentia; Bathyergidae
Source: Ensembl
UCCACCCCGCAUUUCCUCGUCUGCUGACCCAGCAAGGCUCUGGGGAAGGCAAGGACUCAGGGACCCCUACCCACAGGUCAGCUUCUAGGAAAGUUGGCAGGGCCAGGAGCCGGGGCACAUGGAAAGGCCAACCUUCACUGCCACUACUUCGGUGCCCGGAAAGGGGAAGAAUGGCAAGUCGAAAAGAGCCACAGCCCUGCUUACCCCCAGCCUUGAGCAGACCAGACCACCUUUGCAUCUGAAGACCCCCAUCACCCAACACACCCAAGGGUCCCGAGGCCCUGUCAUCCACAGGCAAGGCCUUGAUGACUCUGCCAACAGCCAAGGUUUUCAUUUGCUUCCCACCCAACCCUGCUCUCAAGCUGGCACCCAGCAUCUCAAAGCCAAAAAAGGUGGGCCUUGAACUUGGACUCAUCCUGGUGGGCUGCACUAGACACCUGGGUUGGGGUUGGGGGCCCCAGGCACAGGGCAGCUCCCAGAACCCCUUUCCCAGACAGAUCCCUCAUCCUCUCUCUUUUCUCCACUCCAACUGAGGCUGUUCCCCAGUGCCCUCAAGGCCCCCAUCCUGGAAGUGUCUUGUGCCCUGUGUUCUUUGAAGGUGCAGCUCUUCCUAGCAUCCCUAAGAAGGUCAAGGGCAAGUUUAAGGCCAGACAGUGUGACAAACCGAGGCACCCCAGGCCCAGGCAUGCUCUGUGAAGAGGCUUAACCUCCCACAACCCUCACCCCUUGCUUCUACGUUCCAGGGGCCAGCAGUCAAGGGGCCCUGGGGGAUGUGAGGCUGGAGAAAGCCCGGCUCUGACCCCCAUGGCCCUGGCCUGGAUCCAGCCUCAAAUAAAAAGGAGCACAUGGAGUAUUCUGGGUUGACUUCCCUGUACUGGAGGGGGAAGGGUGGGACGAGGCCCCUGCCCCCAAGGUCCAGCCAUGGUGAGAGCUGGAGGCCGGAACUCCCAACAGGGAAGUUGGAGACUUCUGUGCAGGGAUCACACACAUGAGAAACCAAGUCUGGAAAAGGAUAUGUGGCUGGCCCAGUAUGUUGUGAUGUUGUGGCAGUGAGUGGAAAGCAGGGGGCUUUCUCCUGGCCACCAGGAGCUCCCCAGUCCCAGGAGACAGGCUAGGGACAGUAAUGACAGCAGCUGGGGGACAAAGUCAGCCUUGCCUGAACUCACCCCACUUCCAGAGGACAUGGGUCUGUCCUUCCUCUGCAAGAAGUCACGUCACCUAAAAAUGAAUCUUAUUUUUUUUUUGUUUGUUUGUUUUGUUUUGUUACCGGGGAUCGAACUUGGGACCGUGAGCUUGCAAGGCAGGCACUAGAACCACUGAGCUAAAUCCCGGGCCCCCACCUAAAAAUGAAUCUCCAAGCCACAUCCUUGUUAAAAAGUAGGAUAUCUCCUGGUGGUUGUGGGUUGAAUGAUCCCCCCUAAAAAUGUCUAAAGUGUGACUGUGUGCUUGUGUGGGAGUUGUACAGGUACAAUUACAUUGAUGAUAUGAGAGCAUCUAGAAUUAUGAGUGGGCCCUAAACCCAAUGACAAGUGUCCUUAAAAGAGUCAGAAGAAGCCUGGAGUGGUGCCACAUGCCUGUAAUCCCAGC